RNAcentral lists this ribosomal RNA (531 nucleotides) under Megophrys sp. 43 ZL-2018. RNAcentral's name for it is "partial 16S ribosomal RNA". It matches the Rfam family "Bacterial large subunit ribosomal RNA", at positions 1856 to 2606 of the family's 2925-position model. Lineage: Eukaryota; Metazoa; Chordata; Amphibia; Anura; Megophryidae. The record is from RNAcentral.
CGCCUGCCAGUGACCAUGAGUUCAACGGCCGCGGUAUUCUGACCGCGCGAAGGUAGCGUAAUCACUUGUCUUCUAAAUAAAGACUAGUAUGAACGGCCACACGAGGACUUAACUGUCUCCCCUGUCCAAUCAGUGAAACUGAUCUCCUCGUGCAGAAGCGAGGAUAAUCCCAUAAGACGAGAAGACCCUAUGGAGCUUCAAACUUACAUCAACGACCCUUUAAUUUCCUCUAAGGAGCCAACAAAUUUCUCAACUGAUAUAAGUUUUAGGUUGGGGCGACCAUGGAGAAAAAAAUAACCUCCCUGAUGACUUUCUAACCGAGAGCCACAGCUCAAAGUAUUAAGACCCUUAACUUCCAUUGACCCACUUUGUGAUCAACGAACCAAGUUACCCUAGGGAUAACAGCGCAAUCCGUUUCAAGAGUCCCUAUCGACAAAUGGGUUUACGACCUCGAUGUUGGAUCAGGGCAUCCUAGUGGUGCAACCGCUACUAAUGGUUCGUUUGUUCAACGAUUAAAGCCCUACGUGAUUU